Non-coding RNA from Biomphalaria pfeifferi, 609 nucleotides. NCBI's taxonomy places the organism in Eukaryota, Metazoa, Mollusca, Gastropoda, Planorbidae. The record is from the annotation of a GenBank genome assembly.
UCACUUUUUUCACUUUAUUUAUUGUACCAAUAGGUCUGGUUCCAGUUCUUGGGCGAUGUUCACACUCAUACAAAUAUGUUCCCAGACAUUAAAAGCACAAACAAUUUUUUUUUUGUCAUUUACAUAUCUACAUUUAUGUCAUAUCACCCUGACAUAUCUAGUCACAUGAUCUCAAUGUAUGCUCGUGUAUCACACACACACACACACACACAAAGCAUCUCUAAUAUACUGGUGGGCUUCAGGGACCAGGUUGAGACAUGCUAAUUUAAAGCUAACAGGUAAAUACUUGGGGGACACUUAUGACUAAUAUGUGAUAGUGACUGUAACGAUUCAGUCACACAGGUCCAUACUAAAAAACUAAAAAUCACAAACAUGACAACAACCCAAUAGACAAGCAGUUCUCUCCCAUCCUUGACCUGCGUGGCCACUUCUAUUAACAUGUGAGAUCUUUUCCAGAUGCUCAUUAUCAAAAGUCAACUUCCCGCCGAACCCAAACUUUAUAAUUAACUCUGACCCAACACCACUAUCCUCAAGAUAACUCUUAAAAACCAAGCACUAUCCUCAAGAUAACUCUUAAAAACCUGGCACUAUUCUCAAGAUAACUCUUAG